This is a long non-coding RNA of Labeo rohita (rohu), 673 nucleotides long. RefSeq lists it as uncharacterized. Lineage: Eukaryota; Metazoa; Chordata; Actinopteri; Cypriniformes; Cyprinidae. The record is from RefSeq and is a predicted model, not a curated record. The transcript is spliced from 2 exons.
AAUACCAGGUGCACACACACAAGUUUAUUUAUAAAGCAGAUUAUGUCUAAUAGGCCUACUAGCCCAAAACCUAAAAUAAAGGAAGGGGAUGUUUAUGAAUGGUCUUUUUACCAAAUGAGGACAACCAAAAUGUCUUAAGAAUGUAUGUAUCUUACUGAUGUGAAUUUCUGAUGUUGUGUUGAGAUCUUAGGCAUGAGCUGAUAAUCAGACAGACACAGACGAGACAGUGAAGUGAUUCUCACUUGUAUUCUGGAGAAGAUAUGAUUGAUUCCUCUACUUAUCUUCCACAGUCUCCUCUGAGACUUCUGGCGAUCUGUGAAUGUACAAUUAGAAGAACAGCACUGUUUUACAGGGCACUGAUUUUAACCUCUAUUUACUAUUACUAUUUAUAGCUUUUAAAAAUGUAGAAAGGGCUGUAAAGAUUUUUAUUUUUUAAUUUGUAAUUAAGUGUUUCAUGAACACCACUGUUUUUUGUGUUUGCAUAAUGAACAGGCUGUUUUCUGAUCACCUCAAAGCCACAGAAAACAGAUGAAGGUUUAGCGUCUGGUUAAUUUUUUUCUAUGACCAACACAAAGACAUAUUUAGGAAACCCACAAUGAGGCACAUAACUCUGAACAAUAAGCAGAACAUUGUUUGUGAGCAAAAAUUGAAAGAAUAGAAAAAAAAAAACAAA